AUGAUCUUCUCGGUGAUCUCUGCAGCGUGGUCGGUGGGAGGAGAUGUGGCCCAGCCGUUGAACCAGGCUCUAUCGGUGUCAGGACGCGUUGGUGGAGGAGGAGGGCUGAUGGAGGAGAGCCGACGGAGCCAUGUUGGACGACAGCCGACGGAGCCAUGGUGGACGACAGCCGACGGAGCCAUGGUGGACGAGAGCCGACGGAGAAGCCGUGGUGGACGAGAGCCGACGGCGCCAUGGUGGACGAGAGCCGACGGAGGAGCCAUGGUGGACGAGAGCCGACGGCGCCAUGGUGGACGAGAGCCGACGGAGGAGCCGUGGUGGAGGUCCUGCCUUAAGAAUGAUCUCGGGACCCGAUGGCCUUGGCUGAUGGAGGAACUGCAUCUGGAGGACGACCAUGAAUCUACCUGCCAACAGGUGGUACUGGUUUGCACUGGUUUGCAUGAACUGAACCUGGUGGACAUGAGGCAAAUUCCCUGCUUUUUGCUCCAGACCAGGACUCUGUGAUGGAGGGGUGGUGUUGGAGCCGUGCUGAGGACCCGCUGGUGAAGGACGUCCCUCGUGGGGGGGGCAAGGACAGCCGACCCUGAGGUGAUUAUACCUGACACUGCCACCUCAAUGUGAAGGAGUAGGCUGCUAGACUAGCCACUCCACCAGCCCUACAUCGGUCUAUUCAACCAUCGUUUUGAUCAGAAUGAUUUUGAGAAAAAAGUCCCUGGGUUAAUGGAGCUGUGAGUGAACAGGAUUUAUUCACUCACAAUUUUGCUCUCCAUGUGUGGCUGCAGCGUCUGAUUUCUCACAUGUAUUCCCUCAGUAUUUACUCAUCUUUUAUAACAUUAUGGUCUUCUCAGUGAUCUCUGCAGCGUGGUCGGUGGGAGGAGAUGUGGCCCAGCCGUUGAACCAGGCUCUAUCGGUGUAAGUGGCUUUCGAUCAAUGUUGAUUUUUGUGUUAAAAGGAUGUAUAUUGGACGUUAAUGUGCUUGAUUAUGAUGGUUCAGUACCUUGAUUUAGUGUUUGGGAGUCCGCUUCCUGAAGACGUCCAACCUGUGUCUAGUUUAUUGCUUCUCCUUCUGAAAAAUGUACGCAUCGCUUUGGUUAAAAGCAUCUGCUAAAUGCCCUCAAUGUAAAUGUAGUUGAUUAAUAAAGCUAAUUUACAGCAGUUUAGAAAUGGCACGUCGUCUCCCAAGGUUUGGUUAAAUAUUGUACAACACAGCUGGGUGGACCUGAGGCUGGGGACCAGAGGGUAACCCCACUACCUGGACCAGUAAUGGGGCAGCAGGGUGGACCAGGGUACCAUCUCCAAGCCGCUCUGAAACUAUUUGUUGAGGCUGAUUAUUUUUCAUUAUCUUUCUCCGAUUUUCAUUCUGACAGUAGUAGUUUAUAAAUUUCUCAAC
RNAcentral lists this long non-coding RNA (1390 nucleotides) under Gadus morhua (Atlantic cod). RNAcentral describes it as "lncRNA (ENSGMOG00000026711.1)". The record is from RNAcentral. Lineage: Eukaryota; Metazoa; Chordata; Actinopteri; Gadiformes; Gadidae.